This 362-nucleotide long non-coding RNA is filed under the name Dasypus novemcinctus (nine-banded armadillo). Its description in RNAcentral is "lncRNA (ENSDNOG00000051129.1)". Lineage: Eukaryota; Metazoa; Chordata; Mammalia; Cingulata; Dasypodidae. The record is from RNAcentral.
GGAGAGUACUGCGGCUUCCAGGGGAGAGGUCGGGGGCGGGCGUGGCCCAGCCCUGGGCUGAGGGAAGGGGCGCUCCUCGGCGCGGCGCCCUCGGCGGUCACAGAGGGGCGGCUGUUCCUGCACCGCUGACAGAGGCGAAAGAAACGUUGACAGACUUACAAGUACGGGCAGUGCGGCUCCCAGCGUUACCUUUAAGCGCUACCCAGUGUCCUGAGAGGAUUCAUUGUGAGAAAAGUGUCAGUCACAGUUUUAAGACCUUACUUUGAAAGGAAUUAAGGAGAAAGCAAAUUGGAAGGUAAGAUUUCAUCUUUGUUUUUGUAUUGAAAAAGUUUCAAUGAGUGUAUUAUAAAUGUAUCUAAGCC